RNAcentral lists this ribosomal RNA (2865 nucleotides) under Klebsiella pneumoniae. RNAcentral's name for it is "bacterial LSU rRNA". It matches the Rfam family "Bacterial large subunit ribosomal RNA". Lineage: Bacteria; Pseudomonadati; Pseudomonadota; Gammaproteobacteria; Enterobacterales; Enterobacteriaceae. The record is from RNAcentral.
GGGUUGUGAGGUUAAGCGACUAAGCGUACACGGUGGAUGCCCUGGCAGUCAGAGGCGAUGAAGGACGUGCUAAUCUGCGAAAAGCGUCGGUAAGGUGAUAUGAACCGUUAUAACCGGCGAUGUCCGAAUGGGGAAACCCAGUGCAAUUCGUUGCACUAUCGUUAACUGAAUACAUAGGUUAACGAGGCGAACCGGGGGAACUGAAACAUCUAAGUACCCCGAGGAAAAGAAAUCAACCGAGAUUCCCCCAGUAGCGGCGAGCGAACGGGGAGCAGCCCAGAGUCUGAAUCAGCUUGUGUGUUAGUGGAACGGUCUGGAAAGUCCGACGGUACAGGGUGAUAGUCCCGUACACCAAAAUGCACAGGUUGUGAACUCGAAGAGUAGGGCGGGACACGUGGUAUCCUGUCUGAAUAUGGGGGGACCAUCCUCCAAGGCUAAAUACUCCUGACUGACCGAUAGUGAACCAGUACCGUGAGGGAAAGGCGAAAAGAACCCCGGCGAGGGGAGUGAAAAAGAACCUGAAACCGUGUACGUACAAGCAGUGGGAGCACCUUCGGGUGUGACUGCGUACCUUUUGUAUAAUGGGUCAGCGACUUAUAUUCUGUAGCAAGGUUAACCGUAUAGGGGAGCCGCAGGGAAACCGAGUCUUAACUGGGCGUUAAGUUGCAGGGUAUAGACCCGAAACCCGGUGAUCUAGCCAUGGGCAGGUUGAAGGUUGGGUAACACUAACUGGAGGACCGAACCGACUAAUGUUGAAAAAUUAGCGGAUGACUUGUGGCUGGGGGUGAAAGGCCAAUCAAACCGGGAGAUAGCUGGUUCUCCCCGAAAGCUAUUUAGGUAGCGCCUCGUGAACUCAUCUUCGGGGGUAGAGCACUGUUUCGGCUAGGGGGUCAUCCCGACUUACCAACCCGAUGCAAACUACGAAUACCGAAGAAUGUUAUCACGGGAGACACACGGCGGGUGCUAACGUCCGUCGUGAAGAGGGAAACAACCCAGACCGCCAGCUAAGGUCCCAAAGUCAUGGUUAAGUGGGAAACGAUGUGGGAAGGCACAGACAGCCAGGAUGUUGGCUUAGAAGCAGCCAUCAUUUAAAGAAAGCGUAAUAGCUCACUGGUCGAGUCGGCCUGCGCGGAAGAUGUAACGGGGCUAAACCAUGCACCGAAGCUGCGGCAGCGACACUAUGUGUUGUUGGGUAGGGGAGCGUUCUGUAAGCCUGCGAAGGUGUGCUGUGAGGCAUGCUGGAGGUAUCAGAAGUGCGAAUGCUGACAUAAGUAACGAUAAAGCGGGUGAAAAGCCCGCUCGCCGGAAGACCAAGGGUUCCUGUCCAACGUUAAUCGGGGCAGGGUGAGUCGACCCCUAAGGCGAGGCCGAAAGGCGUAGUCGAUGGGAAACAGGUUAAUAUUCCUGUACUUGGUGUUACUGCGAAGGGGGGACGGAGAAGGCUAUGUUAGCCGGGCGACGGUUGUCCCGGUUUAAGCAUGUAGGCUGGUUAUCCAGGCAAAUCCGGAUAAUCAAGGCUGAGGUGUGAUGACGAGGCACUACGGUGCUGAAGUAACAAAUGCCCUGCUUCCAGGAAAAGCCUCUAAGCAUCAGGUAACAUCAAAUCGUACCCCAAACCGACACAGGUGGUCAGGUAGAGAAUACCAAGGCGCUUGAGAGAACUCGGGUGAAGGAACUAGGCAAAAUGGUGCCGUAACUUCGGGAGAAGGCACGCUGGUGUGUAGGUGAAGUCCCUGCGGAUGGAGCUGAGACCAGUCGAAGAUACCAGCUGGCUGCAACUGUUUAUUAAAAACACAGCACUGUGCAAACACGAAAGUGGACGUAUACGGUGUGACGCCUGCCCGGUGCCGGAAGGUUAAUUGAUGGGGUUAUCCGUAAGGAGAAGCUCUUGAUCGAAGCCCCGGUAAACGGCGGCCGUAACUAUAACGGUCCUAAGGUAGCGAAAUUCCUUGUCGGGUAAGUUCCGACCUGCACGAAUGGCGUAAUGAUGGCCAGGCUGUCUCCACCCGAGACUCAGUGAAAUUGAACUCGCUGUGAAGAUGCAGUGUACCCGCGGCAAGACGGAAAGACCCCGUGAACCUUUACUAUAGCUUGACACUGAACAUUGAGCCUUGAUGUGUAGGAUAGGUGGGAGGCUUUGAAGCGUGGACGCCAGUCUGCGUGGAGCCAACCUUGAAAUACCACCCUUUAAUGUUUGAUGUUCUAACGUUGGCCCCUGACCGGGGUUGCGGACAGUGUCUGGUGGGUAGUUUGACUGGGGCGGUCUCCUCCCAAAGCGUAACGGAGGAGCACGAAGGUUAGCUAAUCCUGGUCGGACAUCAGGAGGUUAGUGCAAUGGCAUAAGCUAGCUUGACUGCGAGCGUGACGGCGCGAGCAGGUGCGAAAGCAGGUCAUAGUGAUCCGGUGGUUCUGAAUGGAAGGGCCAUCGCUCAACGGAUAAAAGGUACUCCGGGGAUAACAGGCUGAUACCGCCCAAGAGUUCAUAUCGACGGCGGUGUUUGGCACCUCGAUGUCGGCUCAUCACAUCCUGGGGCUGAAGUAGGUCCCAAGGGUAUGGCUGUUCGCCAUUUAAAGUGGUACGCGAGCUGGGUUUAGAACGUCGUGAGACAGUUCGGUCCCUAUCUGCCGUGGGCGCUGGAGAAUUGAGGGGGGCUGCUCCUAGUACGAGAGGACCGGAGUGGACGCAUCACUGGUGUUCGGGUUGUCAUGCCAAUGGCACUGCCCGGUAGCUAAAUGCGGAAGAGAUAAGUGCUGAAAGCAUCUAAGCACGAAACUUGCCCCGAGAUGAGUUCUCCCUGAGACUUUAAGUCUCCUGAAGGAACGUUAAAGACGAUGACGUUGAUAGGCCGGGUGUGUAAGCGCUGU